Non-coding RNA from Podarcis lilfordi (Lilford's wall lizard), 123 nucleotides. Lineage: Eukaryota; Metazoa; Chordata; Lepidosauria; Squamata; Lacertidae. The record is from the annotation of a GenBank genome assembly.
GUAGCGCCUUAGAGACCAACUAAGUUUGUUAUUGGUAUGAGCUUUCGUGUGCAUGCACACUUCUUCAGAUACACUUCUUCAGAUCAUACCAAUAACAAACUUAGUUGGUCUCUAAGGUGCUAC